UUUUUGCGUUAAGGAUAGUAGUGAAAAUCCCGCAGCAAGUUGUAGCGGCAGCAAAACUUGUGAGGAAUUGUAACGAAUAGCCUGACCCGUG
This 91-nucleotide unclassified non-coding RNA is filed under the name Mesonia phycicola. Its description in RNAcentral is "Flavo-1 RNA". The record is from RNAcentral. Lineage: Bacteria; Pseudomonadati; Bacteroidota; Flavobacteriia; Flavobacteriales; Flavobacteriaceae.